RNAcentral lists this ribosomal RNA (308 nucleotides) under uncultured eukaryote. RNAcentral's name for it is "partial 18S ribosomal RNA". It matches the Rfam family "Eukaryotic small subunit ribosomal RNA", at positions 1470 to 1796 of the family's 1831-position model. The record is from RNAcentral.
CCCUCAGAUGUUCUGGGCUGCACGCGUGCUACACUGAAGUGUCAUAGCGAGUUACCUAUCUUUAACGGGAAGGGUAAUCUUGAAUGCACUUCGUGAUGGGGAUAGAUCAUUGCAAUUAUUGAUCUUCAACGAGGAAUUCCUAGUAAGCGCAAGUCAUCAGCUUGCGCUGAUUACGUCACUGCUUUUUGUACACACCGCCCGUCGCUCCUACCGAUUGAGUGUUCCGGCGAACAAUUUGGACGAGCUCGGUUUACCUUGCUUGGAAGUCUUGUAAGCCAUAACACUUAGAGGAAGGAGAAGUCGUAACA